RNAcentral lists this ribosomal RNA (692 nucleotides) under uncultured Nitrososphaerota archaeon. Its description in RNAcentral is "bacterial SSU rRNA". It matches the Rfam family "Archaeal small subunit ribosomal RNA", at positions 69 to 764 of the family's 1478-position model. Lineage: Archaea; Thermoproteati; Nitrososphaerota. The record is from RNAcentral.
UAGCAAUAUGUGGCAUACGGCUCAGUAACACGUAGUCAACAUGCCCAGGGGACGUGGAUAACCUCGGGAAACUGAGGAUAAACCGCGAUAGGUCAUCACUUCUGGAAUGGGUAAUGACUUAAAUCUAUAUGGCCCCUGGAUUGGACUGCGGCCGAUCAGGCUGUUGGUGAGGUAAUGGCCCACCAAACCUGUAACCGGUACGGGCUCUGAGAGGAGGAGCCCGGAGAUGGGCACUGAGACAAGGGCCCAGGCCCUAUGGGGCGCAGCAGGCGCGAAACCUCUGCAAUAGGCGAAAGCUUGACAGGGUUACUCUGAGUGAUUUCCGUUAAGGAGAUCUUUUGGCACCUCUAAAAAUGGUGCAGAAUAAGGGGUGGGCAAGUCUGGUGUCAGCCGCCGCGGUAAUACCAGCACCCCGAGUGGUCGGGACGUUUAUUGGGCCUAAAGCAUCCGUAGCCGGUUCUACAAGUCUUCCGUUAAAUCCACCUGCUUAACAGAUGGGCUGCGGAAGAUACUAUAGAGCUAGGAGGCGGGAGAGGCAAGCGGUACUCGAUGGGUAGGGGUAAAAUCCGUUGAUCCAUUGAAGACCACCAGUGGCGAAGGCGGCUUGCCAGAACGCGCUCGACGGUGAGGGAUGAAAGCUGGGGGAGCAAACCGGAUUAGAUACCCGGGUAGUCCCAGCUGUAAACGAUGCA